Molecule: ribosomal RNA, 382 nt
Filed under: uncultured eukaryote
Lineage: Eukaryota
Description: partial 18S ribosomal RNA
Rfam family: Eukaryotic small subunit ribosomal RNA
Source: RNAcentral
CAAUAGCGUAUAUUGAAGUUGUUGCGGUUAAAAAGCUCGUCGUUGGAUUUCUGUUGAGGUCGAACCGUGCCGCCCUAUGGGUGCGCAACUGGCUCGGCUUCGGCAUCUUCCUGGAGAGCGCAUCUGCACUUAACUGUGUGGAUCGUACUUCAAGUCAGUUACUUUGAGGAAUUGUGAGUGUUUCAAGCAGGCUUACGCCGUUGAAUCCGUUAGCAUGGAAUAAUAGGAUAGGACCUCGGUUCUAUUUUGUUGGUUUUGAGAGCUGGGGCAGCGAUUGAUAGGGACGGAUGGGGGCGUCCGAACUUUACUGUCAGAGGUGAAAUUCUUAGAUCGGUCAAAGGCGAACUACUGCGAACGCAUUCGCCAAGAAUGUUUUCUUUAA